AUUGAACGCUGGCGGCAGGCCUAACACAUGCAAGUCGAACGAGUGGCGGACGGGUGAGUAAUGUCUUGGAAACUGCCUGAUGGAGGGGGAUAACUACUGGAAACGGUAGCUAAUACCGCAUACCAUCAGAUGUGCCCAGGUGGGAUUAGCUAGUUGGUGGGGUAACGGCUCACCAAGGCGACGCUCCCUAGCUGGUCUGAGAGGAUGACCAGCCACACUGGAACUGAGACACGGCCCAGACUCCUACGGGAGGCAGCAGUGGGGAAUAUUGCACAAUGGGCGCAAGCCUGAUGCAGCCAGGCCGCGUGUGUGAAGAAGGCCUUCGGAUUGUAAAGUACUUUCGGCAGUGAGGCGUUACCCGCAGAAAAAGCACCGGCUAACUCCGUGCCAGCAGCCGCGGUAAUAC
RNAcentral lists this ribosomal RNA (406 nucleotides) under uncultured bacterium. Its description in RNAcentral is "partial 16S ribosomal RNA". It matches the Rfam family "Bacterial small subunit ribosomal RNA", at positions 30 to 526 of the family's 1533-position model. The record is from RNAcentral.